Entelurus aequoreus (snake pipefish) is the source of this 4206-nucleotide RNA transcript. It is a transcript of the gene named leucine rich repeat containing 8 VRAC subunit Ab, with no coding region annotated. The record is from RefSeq and is a predicted model, not a curated record. The transcript has 5 exons. Lineage: Eukaryota; Metazoa; Chordata; Actinopteri; Syngnathiformes; Syngnathidae.
AGGCAGGACACCGCCACCUACCGGAUGGGCGGGUGCUGGGCUGAGUGGGCUCGGGGAAAACAGCAGCAAUCGCUACUAGCCGCUAGCUACAAGAGGACGCAACUAAUAGGCGAAUAUACGCUUCCUGCGGCGCUGGAUUUAAAGAAAAAUAAUUUUAACACGCUUCCACACCCCAAGCCCAUGGCAACGAGAGGGGCGAUGGUCCAUGAACCUUCAUGGACGCACAGAACGUGGCUAGUCCACCAGCAACAACACCAAGUACUGGAGCCCAGAUAACAGUGAAGUCGAUAAACCAUGAUCCCCAUCACUGAACUGCGGUACUUUGUGGACACACAACCGGCCUACCGUAUCCUGAAACCAUGGUGGGAUGUGUUCACCGACUACAUCUCCAUCGUCAUGCUCAUGAUCUCGGUGUUUGGGGGGACCCUGCAGGUCACCCAAGACAAGAUGAUCUGCUUGCCCUGCAAAUGGGUGGUGGAUCAGACCUGCAAGAAGAACGUAAAUUCUACGUUCGGCCCAUCGUUUUCAUUGGAGCCUAAAGGAAUCCAGUAUGAUUUGGACCGCCACCAGUACAACUAUGUAGACGCUGUGUGCUACGAAACCAGGUUGCACUGGUUCGCCAAGUAUUUCCCUUAUCUAGUGUUACUCCACACCCUUAUUUUCCUAGCAUGUAGCAACUUCUGGUUCAAGUUCCCUCGGACGAGCUCCAAACUCGAACAUUUUGUGUCCAUCUUACUGAAGUGCUUUGACUCACCGUGGACCACUAGGGCUCUGUCAGAGACGGUGGUCGAAGAAAGCGAUCCGAAACCAAUGAAAAUGAACGGCUCGAUGGAGCACAAAGAGUCCGUCAUCAGUGAAGAUGUGGAGGCGAGUGUUCCGAUGCUCCAAAGGACAAAGACACGCCUGGAACAGGGCAUUGUGGACCGAACCGAAACUGGAGUUUUGGACAAGAAAGAAGGCGAGCAGGCUAAAGCGCUGUUUGAAAAGGUGAAAAAGUUCAGAAUACACGUGGAAGAAGGAGACAUCGUGUACCGACUGUACAUCCGUCAGACUAUUAUCAAGGUCAUCAAAUUCAUUUUGAUAAUAUGCUACACAGGGUAUUAUGUGAACGACAUCAAGUUCAGCGUCGACUGUAAUGUCGAUAUCGAGAGUCUGACAGGUUACAGUGUUUAUCGCUGUGCUCAUCCGUUGGCUACCCUUUUUAAAAUCUUGGCCUGUUUCUACAUUAGCUUAGUGGUGGUCUAUGGGCUGAUCUGCAUGUACACUCUGUGCUGGAUGCUGCGACGCUCCCUCAAGAAGUAUUCCUUUGAGUCAAUACGGGAAGAGAGCAGCUACAGCGACAUACCCGAUGUCAAGAACGACUUUGCCUUCAUGUUGCACAUGAUAGAUCAGUAUGACCCUCUUUACUCCAAGCGCUUUGCCGUGUUCCUCUCGGAAGUAAGUGAAAAUAAACUGAGGCAGCUCAACCUCAACAACGAGUGGACUCUAGACAAGCUCAGGCAGAGGAUAACCAAGAACUCCCAGGAGAAGCUGGAGCUGCACCUUUUCAUGCUCAGCGGCAUUCCAGACACAGUAUUUGACCUGAUGGAGCUGGAAGUUCUCAAACUGGAGCUGAUACCGGACGUGACCAUCCCACCGAUCAUUGCUCAGCUCGUAAACCUGCGAGAGAUGUGGCUUUACCACACCCCAGCUAAGAUUGAGGCCCCGGCGUUGGCGUUCUUGCGUGAGAAUUUGAAGUCCCUUCACAUCAAAUUUACAGACAUCAAAGAAAUUCCUUUGUGGAUUUACAGUUUGAAGAAUCUAAGUGAGCUCCAUCUUACCGGGAAUCUGAGCGCUGAGAACAACCGCUACAUUGUCAUCGACGGGCUGCGGGAACUCAAGAGGCUCAAGGUUCUUCGUCUCAAGAGCAACCUAACCAAGCUGCCUCAAGUUGUGACCGACGUGGGUAUGCAUCUCCAGAAGCUGUCAAUCAACAACGAGGGCACCAAGCUCAUGGUGCUGAAUAGCCUGAAGAAAAUGGUCAAUCUGACGGAGCUGGAGCUCAUCCGCUGUGAUCUGGAGCGCAUACCGCACUCCAUCUUCAGCUUGCACAACUUGCAGGAGAUCGACUUGAAGGACAACAACCUAAAGACUAUCGAGGAGAUCAUCAGUUUCCAGCACCUUCACAGGCUGGUCUGCCUUAAGCUCUGGUAUAAUCAAAUCGCCUACAUUCCCAUUCAGAUCGGCACACUGAUCAACUUGGAGAAACUGUACCUGAACCGGAACAAAAUUGAGAAGAUCCCCGGACAGUUGUUUUACUGCCGCAAGCUCCGCUUCCUGGACCUGAGCCAUAACAACCUAACCAACAUCCCGGCUGACAUUGGAUCCCUGCAGAACCUUCAGUACCUUGCAGUGACAGCUAACAGAAUCGAGAGCCUUCCAAAUGAGCUGUUCCAGUGCAAGAAACUGCGCACUUUGAACCUGGGGAACAACUGCCUGCAGUCUCUGCCAUCACGCUUCGGAGAGCUGACGGCCCUGACACAACUGGAGCUGAGAGGCAACCGUCUGGAGUGUCUGCCCGUGGAGCUGGCCGAGUGCCGGCAGCUGAAGAGAACUGGUCUGGUGGUGGAGGAGGACCUAUUCAACACCCUGCCCACCGAGGUCAAAGAACAGCUGUGGAGAACGGACAAGGAGGCCAUUUAAGCACGGCUGUCAGUUAAUCAAUACUCGCUGACUCGAGACAAGUCCAUGCCAACACUCAGACCGGAAGGUGUCAUGUGGAGCCAGGAAAAUGUCACCAGUUUUGUUUUCAUCGCCUCAUAGCUUCCCCGCUGUUGUUUUUCUAAUGUGUAAGGUUGUACACAAAGUCAUUAAUGAGGCUUUUUAGCAAUAAUACUCUAAUAAUCCCAAAGGAACAUUUGACAGGUUGGGCCAUUUGUUUACAUGUCAUGCAUCGCUAUGAUGGACCAUUGAAUCAAUGACAGCCUGAAGUGUGGAACCCAUAGACAUCACCAGACGCUGGGUUUCGUCCCUGGUGAUGCUGUGCCGGGCCUCUGCUGCAGCUGUCUUCACUUCCUGCUUGUUCUUUGGGCAUUUUCCCUUCAGUUUUGUCUUCAGCAAGUGAAAUGCAUGCUCAAUCGGAUUCAGGUCAGGUGAUUGACUUGGCCAUUACAGAAGAUUCCACUUAUUUGCCUUAAAAAAACAAUUUGGUUCCUUUUGGAGUAUGCUUCGGGUCAUUGGCCAUCUGCAUUGUGAAGCACCGUCCAAUGACUUUUGAAGCAUUUGGCUGAAUAUGAGCAUAUAAUAUUGCCCCAAACACUUCAGAAUUCAUUCUGCUGCUUUUGUCAGCUGUCACAUCAUCAAUAAAUAUAAGAAAUCCAGUUCCACUAGCAGCCAUGCAUGCCCACACCAUUACACUACCACCACCAUCCUUCACUGAUGAGGCGGUAUGCUUUGGAUCCUGAGCAGUUCCUUCCCUUCUCCAUACUCUUCUCUUUCCAUCAUUCUGCUACAAGUUGAUCUUUGUCUCAUCUGUCCAUAAGAUGUUCCAGAACUGCACAGGCUCUUUUAGAUGUUUCUUGGCAAACUCUAAUCUGGCCUUCCUGUUUUUGAGGCUCACCAAUGGUUUACACCUUGUGAUGAAACCUCUGUAUUUACUCUGGUAAAGUCUUCUCUUAAUUGUUGACUUGGACACAGAUACACCUACCUCCUGGAGCGUUUUCUUCACCUGGCCAACUGUUGUGAAGGGCUUUUUCUUGACAAGGGAAAUUAUUUUUCUGUCAUCCACCACACUUGUUUUCCGUGGUCUUCCAUGUCUUUUGGUGUUGCUGAGCUCAGCAGUGUGUUCUCUCUUUUUAAGAAUGUACCAAACAGUUGAUUUGGCCACACCUAAUGUUUUUUCUAUCUCUCUGAUGGCUUUGUUUUGAUUUUUCAGCCUAAUGAUGGCUUGCUUCACUGAUAGUGACAGAUCUUUGGACUUCAUAUUGAGAGAUGACCUCCCCAAAUUCCAAAUGAAUAUACCACACUUGAAAUGACAUCCAGGCCUUGUAUCUGCUCUUUGUAAAUGAAAUAAAUGACAAAAAAUAAGGGAAUAACACACACCUGGCCAUGGAACAGCUGAUUAGCCAAUUGUCCAAUUACUUUUGGUCCCUUAAAAAGUGGAAGGCACAUAUACAAUGUGUUGUAAUUCCUAUACCGUUCACCUGAUUUGGAUGUAAAUACCCUCAA